Molecule: ribosomal RNA, 608 nt
Filed under: Bacillus sp. (in: firmicutes)
Lineage: Bacteria; Bacillati; Bacillota; Bacilli; Caryophanales; Bacillaceae
Description: bacterial SSU rRNA
Rfam family: Bacterial small subunit ribosomal RNA
Source: RNAcentral
UGAAGAGGAGCUUGCUCCUUGGAUUCAGCGGCGGACGGGUGAGUAACACGUGGGCAACCUGCCUGUAAGACUGGGAUAACUCCGGGAAACCGGGGCUAAUACCGGAUAACUUCUUUUCUCGCAUGGGAAGAGGUUGAAAGACGGUUUUGCUGUCACUUACAGAUGGGCCCGCGGCGCAUUAGCUAGUUGGUGGGGUAACGGCCUACCAAGGCGACGAUGCGUAGCCGACCUGAGAGGGUGAUCGGCCACACUGGGACUGAGACACGGCCCAGACUCCUACGGGAGGCAGCAGUAGGGAAUCUUCCGCAAUGGACGAAAGUCUGACGGAGCAACGCCGCGUGAGUGACGAAGGCCUUCGGGUCGUAAAACUCUGUUAUCAGGGAAGAACAAGCAUCAUUUAACUGAUGGUGCCUUGACGGUACCUGACCAGAAAGCCACGGCUAACUACGUGCCAGCAGCCGCGGUAAUACGUAGGUGGCAAGCGUUGUCCGGAAUUAUUGGGCGUAAAGCGCGCGCAGGCGGCUUCUUAAGUCUGAUGUGAAAGCCCACGGCUCACCCGUGGAGGGUCAUUGGAAACUGGAGGCUUGAGUGCAGAGAGAGAGCGAUUC